CAGAAAAUAUGGUAAGCUAUGUUAACAAGCCAUAUUAGAUAUCAAGCAUUAAUAUGGAAAUAAACCAGCCCACCUGCACCCAGGUGAAAUAAACAGCUUUAUUGCUCACACAAAGCCUGUUUGGUGGUCUCUUCACAUGGACGCGCAUGAAAUUUGGUGCCGUGACUCGGAUCGGGGGACCUCCCUUGGGAGAUCAAUCCCCUGUCCUCCUGCUCUUUGCUCCGUGAGAAACAUCCACCUAUGGCCUCAGGUCCUCAGACCGACCAGCCCAAGAAACAUCUCACCAAUUUCAAAUCCGGCAUUGGGCUCUCACCAUUGGCCAAGAUUCCCUGCCCCGGUGAGGCCGGAAGCAGUUCAGACACCUGACUUCUGGCAACAUGUGAGCCUGACCCAAGCAGAUCACUGGUGACCAGUAAAUAUUGAAGCUCCAAGGUUCUUCCUUUAACAUACUGAAUUAAUGAGCCCCCUAGGGGCAUCCCCUAAAAUGACUGAGAUUUAAUUUCUCUCUAGCCUGAAUAAAGACUUAGAGCAGAUUAAAUUUGAUUUAGAGGAAGAAAAAAGCAGAGUGACUUUCUUACAACUUAGUAUUCUCAACUAAAAUUCAUACCCACAACACACAAAUACAUCCACACCAACACCCACCUAUCCACCUACCCACAUGCAUGCUUUGGAGGAUUUUGGAAGAGUGCUGAAUGGCAUGUUAUAAUUUUUCAAUUCGUUUAAAUAUUUAAAAAGUGAUAGUCUUUUAUGACUGGGUGCGGUGGCUCACGCCUGUAAACCCAGCACUUUGGAAGGCUGAGGCAGGUGGAUCAUUUGAGGCCAGGAGUUUGAGACCAGCCUGAGCAACGUGGCAAAACACCAUUCUACUAAAAUUAGAAAAAUUAGCCAGAUGUGGUGGCACAGGCCUGUGAUC
Molecule: long non-coding RNA, 913 nt
Filed under: Homo sapiens (human)
Lineage: Eukaryota; Metazoa; Chordata; Mammalia; Primates; Hominidae
Description: HSALNT0093633
Source: RNAcentral